RNAcentral lists this ribosomal RNA (530 nucleotides) under Salmonella enterica subsp. enterica serovar Enteritidis. RNAcentral's name for it is "partial 23S ribosomal RNA". It matches the Rfam family "Bacterial large subunit ribosomal RNA", at positions 1 to 561 of the family's 2925-position model. The record is from RNAcentral. Lineage: Bacteria; Pseudomonadati; Pseudomonadota; Gammaproteobacteria; Enterobacterales; Enterobacteriaceae.
GGGUUGUGAGGUUAAGCGACUAAGCGUACACGGUGGAUGCCCUGGCAGUCAGAGGCGAUGAAGGGCGUACUAAUCUGCGAUAAGCGCCGGUAAGGUGAUAUGAACCGUUAUAACCGGCGAUACCCGAAUGGGGAAACCCAGUGUGACUCGUCACACUAUCAUUAACUGAAUCCAUAGGUUAAUGAGGCGAACCGGGGGAACUGAAACAUCUAAGUACCCCGAGGAAAAGAAAUCAACCGAGAUUCCCCCAGUAGCGGCGAGCGAACGGGGAGGAGCCCAGAGCCUGAAUCAGCAUGUGUGUUAGUGGAAGCGUCUGGAAAGGCGCGCGAUACAGGGUGACAGCCCCGUACACAAAAGCGCAUGUGCUGUGAGCUCGAUGAGUAGGGCGGGACACGUGGUAUCCUGUCUGAAUAUGGGGGGACCAUCCUCCAAGGCUAAAUACUCCUGACUGACCGAUAGUGAACCAGUACCGUGAGGGAAAGGCGAAAAGAACCCCGGCGAGGGGAGUGAAAAAGAACCUGAAACCGUGU